GAGACACCCUUCUGGGGCAAGACUUGCUUCAGUGGGGCUUUGGUGCUCACUGAGUCUUGCCCCCUGAGUGUGUCCCU
This 77-nucleotide microRNA precursor is filed under the name Myotis lucifugus (little brown bat). RNAcentral's name for it is "mir-9229 microRNA precursor family". It matches the Rfam family "mir-9229 microRNA precursor family". Lineage: Eukaryota; Metazoa; Chordata; Mammalia; Chiroptera; Vespertilionidae. The record is from Rfam by way of RNAcentral.